GGGGUGCUCGAGUGGCGAACGGGUGAGUAACACGUGAGUAACCUGCCUUUGACUUUGGGAUAACUUCAGGAAACUGGGGCUAAUACCGGAUAGGAGCUCCUGCUGCAUGGUGGGGGUUGGAAAGUUUCGGCGGUUGGGGAUGGACUCGCGGCUUAUCAGCUUGUUGGUGGGGUAGUGGCUUACCAAGGCUUUGACGGGUAGCCGGCCUGAGAGGGUGACCGGCCACAUUGGGACUGAGAUACGGCCCAG
Molecule: ribosomal RNA, 249 nt
Filed under: uncultured Actinomycetales bacterium
Lineage: Bacteria; Bacillati; Actinomycetota; Actinomycetes; Actinomycetales
Description: partial 16S ribosomal RNA
Rfam family: Bacterial small subunit ribosomal RNA
Source: RNAcentral